This 489-nucleotide ribosomal RNA is filed under the name uncultured bacterium. RNAcentral describes it as "partial 16S ribosomal RNA". It matches the Rfam family "Bacterial small subunit ribosomal RNA", at positions 28 to 507 of the family's 1533-position model. The record is from RNAcentral.
GAUGAGCGCUAGCGGCAGGCCUAAUACAUGCAAGUCGAACGGGAUCCAGAUCAAAGCUUGCUUUGUUCUGUGGGGGGUGCCGAAGGGGGCGUUAACCGGUAGCAACCCUACCUUUUUCGGGGGGAAGGCCGGGCGAAAGCGGGUUUAAAACCGAAUGACAUCUUUGAAGGGCAUCUUUCGAUGAUCAAAGAUUAACCGACCAAGGUGGGCUUCGGUGACCUUAGCUAGUUGGUAAGGUAACGGCUUACCAAGGCUGCGAUGUCUAGGGGCUCUGAGAGGAGAAUCCCCCACACUGGUACUGAGACACGGACCAGACUCCUACGGGAGGCAGCAGUAAGGAAUAUUGGUCAAUGGACGGAAGUCUGAACCAGCCAUGCCGCGUGCAGGAAGACGGCCCUAUGGGUUGUAAACUGCUUUUAUACGGGAACAAACGUCGGUACGUGUACCGGUCUGAGUGUACCGUAAGAAUAAGGAUCGGCUAACUCCGUG